GCUGGAUGUAGUGGUCUGCUUGUAGUUCCAGCUACUUGGGAGGCUGAGGGAGGAGGAUCACUUGAGUCCAGGAAUUCUGGGUUGUAGUGUGCUAUGCCUAUCAGUUGUCUGCACUAAGUUUGUCAUCAAUUUCAUGGCCUCCUGGGAGUAGGAGACCACCAGGUUCCCUAAGGAGAGGUGAAUCAGCCCAAGUUGGAAACGGAGCAGGUCAAAACUGCCAUACCGGUCAGUAGUGGGAGCUUACCUGUAAAUAGCUACUGCACUCCAGCCUGGGCAAUGUAGUGAGAUCCUGUCUCUA
This is a non-coding RNA of Pan troglodytes (chimpanzee), 298 nucleotides long. It matches the Rfam family "Metazoan signal recognition particle RNA". From Rfam's summary of the family: The signal recognition particle (SRP) is a universally conserved ribonucleoprotein. The record is from Rfam. Lineage: Eukaryota; Metazoa; Chordata; Mammalia; Primates; Hominidae.